GAUGAACGCUGGCGGCGUGUCUAAUACAUGCAAGUCGAGCGAACAGACGAGGAGCUUACUCCUCUGACGUUAGCGGCGGACGGGUGAGUAACACGUGGAUAACCUACCUAUAAGACUGGGAUAACUUCGGGAAACCGGAGCUAAUACCGGAUAACAUGUUGAACCGCAUGGUUCAACAGUGAAAGACGGUCUUGCUGUCACUUAUAGAUGGAUCCGCGUCGCAUUAGCUAGUUGGUAAGGUAACGGCUUACCAAGGCAACGAUGCGUAGCCGACCUGAGAGGGUGAUCGGCCACACUGGAACUGAGACACGGUCCAGACUCCUACGGGAGGCAGCAGUAGGGAAUCUUCCGCAAUGGGCGAAAGCCUGACGGAGCAACGCCGCGUGAGUGAAGAAGGUCUUCGGAUCGUAAAACUCUGUUAUUAGGGAAGAACAAAUGUGUAAGUAACUAUGCACGUCUUGACGGUACCUAAUCAGAAAGCCACGGCUAACUACGUG
Molecule: ribosomal RNA, 497 nt
Filed under: uncultured bacterium
Lineage: Bacteria
Description: partial 16S ribosomal RNA
Rfam family: Bacterial small subunit ribosomal RNA
Source: RNAcentral